RNAcentral lists this unclassified non-coding RNA (561 nucleotides) under Calosphaeriales sp. JXSMWI-37. RNAcentral describes it as "sequence contains 18S rRNA gene, ITS1, 5.8S rRNA gene, ITS2, 28S rRNA gene". The stretch from base 221 to 374 matches the Rfam family "5.8S ribosomal RNA". The record is from RNAcentral. Lineage: Eukaryota; Fungi; Ascomycota; Sordariomycetes; Calosphaeriales.
AACCAGCGGAGGGAUCAUUACCGAGUUGAAAAACUCCCAAACCACUGCGUACAUACCACGUCGUUGCUUCGGCGGGCCGCNGCCGCCGCCGGAACCCCCCCGCCCGGGGGGGCGAGGGCGGCGCCGCGGACCCGGCCCCGAGAGGGGGGCCCGCCGGAGGCCCAAACACUGCACCUCAGCGAGCUGCCUUCUGAGUCUCUUGACGAAAAAAUCAAGUAAAAACUUUCAACAACGGAUCUCUUGGUUCUGGCAUCGAUGAAGAACGUAGCGAAAUGCGAUAAGUAAUGUGAAUUGCAGAAUUCAGUGAAUCAUCGAAUCUUUGAACGCACAUUGCGCCCGCCAGUACUCUGGCGGGCAUGCCUGUCCGAGCGUCAUUUCACCACUCAGGCCCCCGGGCCUGGCGUUGGGGCACUGCGGCCGACGCAGGCCCCCAAGUCCAGUGGCGAGCCGGCCGGGAACCCGAGCGCAGUAGACUUCUCCGCCCCGGGGCCCCGGACGGCCUCCGCCGUGAAACAGCAGGGAGGGGGCUCGCGCCCCCGCCCGCCACCACAAGGUGGACCU